This 520-nucleotide ribosomal RNA is filed under the name uncultured Glomus. Its description in RNAcentral is "SSU rRNA". It matches the Rfam family "Eukaryotic small subunit ribosomal RNA", at positions 569 to 1086 of the family's 1831-position model. Lineage: Eukaryota; Fungi; Glomeromycota; Glomeromycetes; Glomerales; Glomeraceae. The record is from RNAcentral.
AGCAGCCGCGGUAAUUCCAGCUCCAAUAGCGUAUAUUAAAGUUGUUGCAGUUAAAAAGCUCGUAGUUGAAUUUCGGGAUCAUCAGGUUGGUCGUGCCUCUGGUAUGUACUGAUUUCGAUGGUUCCUCCUUCUUGAAGAACCGUAAUGCCAUUAAUUUGGUGUUGCGGGGAAACAGGACUGUUACUUUGAAAAAAUUAGAGUGUUUAAAAGCAGGCAAUCGACUUGAAUACAUUAGCAUGGAAUAAUGAAAUAGGACGUUCGAUCCUAUUUUGUUGGUUUCUAGGAUUGACGUAAUGAUUAAUAGGGAUAGUUGGGGGCAUUAAGUAUUCAAUUGUCAGAGGUGAAAUUCUUGGAUUUAUUGAAGACUAACUACUGCGAAAGCAUUUGCCAAGGAUGUUUUCAUUAAUCAAGAACGAAAGUUUAGGGGAUCGAAGACGAUCAGAUACCGUCGUAGUCUUAACCAUAAACUAUGCCGACUAGGGAUCGGAUGAUGUUAAUUUUUAAUGACUCAUUUCGGCGU